Molecule: non-coding RNA, 924 nt
Organism: Carassius carassius (crucian carp)
Lineage: Eukaryota; Metazoa; Chordata; Actinopteri; Cypriniformes; Cyprinidae
Source: the annotation of a RefSeq genome assembly
AGUCACUUUGCAUCAGCACAUGCUUCAGCGCUCCGAGUGUUUAUAGCGUUCAGACUCAACACUUUAUAACACACUGCUGUUUACCACGGUACAAAACCAACAAACACAAUGAAUCUCUUCAGCAGCUUCAUCUGGAUUCUGGCAGCUUUUAUUCCAGCAGCAUCCAGAGGAAUCACUGUGACUCAGCCUGAAGCUGUGACUGUUUCUGAACGACAAGACGCCACUAUAGAGUGUAAAACUGAUCCUGGAAUAACUAGCUGGGGUUUAGCUUGGUAUCAGCAGAAACCUGGAGAAGCUCCUAAACUCAUCAUUACUGGAGUAACCGAUCGCUACAGUAACAGUUUCAGUCGAUUCAGUGGGAAUGGAGCACGAGGUGGGACUGAUUUCACUCUGACCAUCAGUGGAGUCCAGACUGAAGAUGUUGCACAUUAUUACUGUCAGAGUGUACAUGAAAUCAACAGUGACUAUGUGUUCACACAGUGAUAAAGCGUGGUACAAAAACCUGUGUCAGUCAGAGUCACAGUGACUGAACUGAUGCUGCAGCUGCUCAAACACUAUCACUCACUCAACAGGGAAAAAACAUAUUAAUAUCAUCUUACAAUAAACAUCAGUUUUGUUGAGCUACAACAUUUAUUUUUGAUUAUGAUUUUUCUGAAGUUAUUUUUGUCUCCUGAUAUUUUCAGUCCUUCAUGUAGAAAUCCAUCCACUUUUGCUCUUCAGUGGAUAUUUUUCCAUCCUUCACUAUAUUUAUGAGUUUCUUCAUUUACGAUUUAUCCUCAAUCUUUCUAAACUGCAUCAUCAACAUCAUAAACAUGUUCUGCUUCAUCAGUUUAAUAAGUCCAUCAUUGAUUAUUAUUAUGAUUUAAGUUCAUGCUUCAUAAUGCAAAUAUUAUCAGCAUCAUAUAAACAUGUUUCUCAAUUUCA